RNAcentral lists this ribosomal RNA (253 nucleotides) under uncultured bacterium. Its description in RNAcentral is "partial 16S ribosomal RNA". It matches the Rfam family "Bacterial small subunit ribosomal RNA", at positions 524 to 776 of the family's 1533-position model. The record is from RNAcentral.
UACGAAGGGGGCUAGCGUUGUUCGGAAUUACUGGGCGUAAAGCGUGCGUAGGCGGUUUGUUAAGUCCGCUGUGAAAGCCCUGGGCUCAACCUGGGAAUGGCAGUGGAUACUGGAAAGCUAGAGUGCGGUAGAGGGUAGUGGAAUUCCCGGUGUAGCAGUGAAAUGCGUAGAGAUCGGGAGGAACACCAGUGGCGAAGGCGGCUACCUGGACCAGCACUGACACUGAGGCACGAAAGCGUGGGGAGCAAACAGG